GGAAUCUUCCACAAUGGACGCAAGUCUGAUGGAGCAACGCCGCGUGAGUGAAGAAGGUUUUCGGAUCGUAAAGCUCUGUUGUUGGUGAAGAAGGAUAGAGGCAGUAACUGGUCUUUAUCUGACGGUAAUCAACCAGAAAGUCACGGCUAACUACGUGCCAG
This 161-nucleotide ribosomal RNA is filed under the name uncultured bacterium. RNAcentral describes it as "partial 16S rRNA". It matches the Rfam family "Bacterial small subunit ribosomal RNA", at positions 358 to 511 of the family's 1533-position model. The record is from RNAcentral.